AUGUCUGAUCAGGAGGCAAAACCAUCAAUUGGGGACUUGAGGAAUAAGAAGGUGAAUACAUUAAACUCAAAGUCACUGGACAGGAUAGCAGUGAGAUUCACUUCAAAGUGAAAAUGACAGCACAUCUCAAGACACUCAAAGAAUCAUACUGGCAAAGACAGGGCGUUCCAAUGAAUUCACUCAGGUUUCUCUUUGAAGGUCAGAGAACUGCUGAUAAUCACACCCCAAAAGAAUUGGGAAUGGAAGAAGAAGACGUGAUUGAAGCUUAUCAGGAACAAACGGAGUCAUUCCAUGGCUUAGAUAUUCUUUUUGUUCUUUUUCUUUUCCCUCAAUCCUUUUUUAUUUUUUAAAAAUAGUUCUUUUGUAAUGUGGUGCUCAAAAUGAAAAU
RNA transcript from Octodon degus (degu), 388 nucleotides. It is a transcript of the gene named small ubiquitin-related modifier 1 pseudogene, with no coding region annotated. The transcript has a single exon. Lineage: Eukaryota; Metazoa; Chordata; Mammalia; Rodentia; Octodontidae. The record is from RefSeq and is a predicted model, not a curated record.